UUGCAUUUCGGAUAAAAGUUUGAUAUAAUGGCUUUGUUCGGGUUAAACCGGACUAUGAUGUUAAACGAAAAGCGGAAUAGGUGUAGUGGACCCGGGGGCGGUACCCGGCACCUCCACCAGAAAAUAUGGGGGUGAAACAGCAUCGACACGCAUAGUAAAGGCUUUCUCUUACAUUCGGUAUGGUAACCGCCGUUAUCGGGCUAAAAAAAAUAAAUGCAAACGAUAACUUUGCACCGGUUGCUUUGGCCGCUUAAUAGCGUCCUUGUGACCACUUAAUUCCCGAACCAUUUUGCGGUUUGGGUGAGGCUUCCCGAAGGGCCCAGCAACAGAAC
This 332-nucleotide transfer-messenger RNA is filed under the name bovine gut metagenome. RNAcentral's name for it is "Alphaproteobacteria transfer-messenger RNA". It matches the Rfam family "Alphaproteobacteria transfer-messenger RNA". From Rfam's summary of the family: Bacterial tmRNA, also known as 10Sa RNA or SsrA, is named for its dual tRNA and mRNA-like properties. The record is from RNAcentral.